UACGAAGGGUGCAAGCGUUAAUCGGAAUUACUGGGCGUAAAGCGCGCGUAGGUGGUUCAGCAAGUUGGAUGUGAAAGCCCUGGGCUCAACCUGGGAAUUGCAUUUGAAACUGGAAAACUAGAGUGUGUGAGAGGGGGGUAGAAUUCCAAGUGUAGCGGUGAAAUGCGUAGAGAUUUGGAGGAAUACCAGUGGCGAAGGCGGCCCCCUGGCACAACACUGACGCUCAGGUGCGAAAGCGU
This 239-nucleotide ribosomal RNA is filed under the name uncultured bacterium. RNAcentral describes it as "partial 16S ribosomal RNA". It matches the Rfam family "Bacterial small subunit ribosomal RNA", at positions 524 to 762 of the family's 1533-position model. The record is from RNAcentral.